Molecule: unclassified non-coding RNA, 2186 nt
Filed under: Dimorphilus gyrociliatus
Lineage: Eukaryota; Metazoa; Annelida; Polychaeta; Dinophilidae
Description: dus domain-containing protein
Source: RNAcentral
AUUUGUUUUACUCUUUACACGUGAAUAUAUUAGUUAGUUAAGAAAGUAACUUUUCAUUUGAAAUGAUAAUCAAGUUUUAGUACUGUUGACAAAAAAAAGUUUUGCAAAGUUUUGCUUACGUUUUUACAGACAUAAAAACGUUUUGCAAAAAACAGCAUGUGCAGCCGAAAUCGACGGUAAUACAUUUCAGAACGUGGAGAUAUUAUUGUCUUCCUUUAAUGACAUCAUUAGUCUAAUCAAUUAUUAAUAAUUUCCCUAGUGUCUGUUAAAAUAUCUAUAUAAAUAUUUAAGCUUUUCUCUUUUCCACAAGUUUUCUCUUUCUCAUAUCUUCAAAUAUUUAUCAGAAAAAGCAUAUUUAUUUCUUUCGUCAUUUCAAAAUCAAUAGAAAGAAAUUUAAAAUCAUAGAGAUGAGAAUAGCAUGAAACACAUUGCAUAAGUCUUACAUUAUUCAUAUAAAAGAAUGAUUCUUAUUGAUGUCGUAAAAGUUUCAACAGAUCAAUCUAUAAAGAGAGCGUACUGUUGUUAAAUUUAAAGAAAUAGUGAUGAUGUACAUCUUUUAAAAUAACUACUAAAUUGACCUUGCCCGCAUUCUAACACAUUUACUUUCCAGGAUUGCAGUGUAAAAAGAAGACACACAGUAGAAGAACCGUUAGUCUUUUAAAAUAUUUUUUUCUCAGGACUGUAACGCUACUUCAAUUGACAUGUCUAAAUUAGAAGGAUAUGAGUAUUAUAGGAAGAGUUUAAACUCUGCCAAGUAUGUUGUUGCUCCAAUGGUUGAUGCAAGUGAAUUAGCUUUUAGAAUGCAAUGUCGUAAACAUGGCGCACAGCUAUGCUACACGCCUAUGUUCAAUGCUGGUUUAUUUGUGAAAAGUGAACAUUAUAGACAAGAGAAUUUUACAACAUGCCCAGAAGACCGACCAUUAAUUGUUCAAUUUUGUGCAAAUGACCCUAAAAUAUUUUUGGAAGCCUGUAAACUAGUUCAAGAUCGUUGCGACGGUGUUGAUUUAAAUCUAGGAUGUCCUCAGCAAAUAGCUCGUAGAGGUCAUUAUGGGGCUUUUCUACAAGAUGAGUGGGAACUUUUAGAAAAAAUGGUUAGUCUAUGUCAUAAAGAAUUAAAAGUUCCAAUAAGCUGCAAAAUUAGGAUAUUUAAAUCUCUUGAAAAAACCAUUAAAUAUGCAAAAACACUUGAGAAGGCCGGAUGUCAAUUGUUAACUGUUCACGGUAGAACAAGAGAGCAAAAAGGAGUCUUAACAGAUAUUGCCAAUUGGAAGUUUAUAGCUGAGGUUAGAAAGAAUGUGAAAAUUCCUGUACUUUCUAAUGGAAAUAUUCAAUAUUUCUGUGAUAUUGAAAGAUGCAUAAAUUUUACGGGAGUCGACGGAGUGAUGUCAGCAGAAGGGUGCUUAUACAAUCCUGCCCUAUUUGAAGGAAAAACUUAUGCAGCUUACUUUUUAGCUGAAGAAUAUUUAAAUUUUACGAAAAAGUAUCCAUGUCCUCUAGGUUAUAUACGUGGACAUGUAUUUAAGAUUUUAAAUCCUUGUCUACAAUGUGAUAUAGAUGAAAUGAGACGAGCGAGAGAUCUAAUAGCUGGCGCUCAAGCAGUUGACACAUUUUAUGAAGCUGUCGCAAUAGUCAAGUCUACCUGGCUGAGUUAUUACAGAGAUUCCAAUUUAAGUAAUGAAGCCUUGUUUCCGCUGAAAUUUGUUUGUCAGCCGUACGUUAGACCGCCUAUAAGAAAUAACGAAGAACAAAAAGAAGAAUCGGUGAAAUCUGGCAAACCAGAUAGAAGAGAUAUUUUAAAGAGAAAACUUGAGGAAAAAAUGAAAAUUUCCGAAGAAGAUAUGAAUCGUUUAUCUUUGAAAAAGUUAAAAAAAUUAUUGAAAAAGCCUAAGAGAAGAAAAAUUCCAGAAUACUCUAACAAUCUAGACAAAUGUCGAAAUGACUUGUGCCCAAAUCCAAAAUGUUUACUUUGUGAAUUCAAGAUGUGUAAAAGUUGCUGUAGAGUUACUGCUAAAGAAAAAUCAAUAAACUGUACAAAACAUCGUUCGUUGUGUGUUGAAGAAAGUUCUAAAUAAAUUAAAAUACAAUUGUGAUUGUUAUCUAUAAAAUUUAAUUAAGUUUUGCUAAUUCUACGAAAAAUAACAACGGAUAAUUAUUAAUAAACAGGAGAUUGUUUGGUCUCAUUCAAU